This is a long non-coding RNA of Canis lupus familiaris (dog), 612 nucleotides long. RefSeq lists it as uncharacterized. The transcript has 3 exons. The record is from RefSeq and is a predicted model, not a curated record. Lineage: Eukaryota; Metazoa; Chordata; Mammalia; Carnivora; Canidae.
UUUAGAUCUGGACUUCUCUUAUCUCUCUGGCCCUCAGAGUGGGACUGAAUUAUACCAUCAUUUCAUGGGUCUCAAGUACUCGCUUCAGCAGCACAUGUAUUAUGGGUCUCCAGCUUGCAUAAAGCAGGAUCACUUCAGGUGCCAUGAUCAGAAUAGGCUGAAAGGAAAAAGGCAAUAAGUCAGGGUGGCACCUAAAAAACAAGUAUCAACACAUCCUGGAAAAUGACAGUGGAAUAAACUCAAGAAAGUAGCCCCAGUCGAAGUUGCUAUGACAAAAUGGUAUUCUUCCUAGAGACAACUAAUACAGACUCAAAUAUAAGAAAUGAAGCCACUGAACUGGCAAAUGUGUUUUUUUCCCUUUCCUAUCAAGAAAGACUGGAAACAUUCACAUAUGCUCAGGAUGGACAAAAAUACAUAUUAACUAGUCUUCCCCAGGGUUAUGUUAACUCUACUGCCCUCUAUCAUAAUAUAGCUCUCAAAGACAAAGGCCAUAAGGACACUCCACAGAACAUCACAUUGACUCACUCACUGUAUCAGCGAGAAAGAAGUAGCUAUUAUACUGGAGACCUUAUUUAUGCACAUCUCCAAAGAGUGGAAGAUAAUUCUAUAAAG